RNAcentral lists this transfer RNA (94 nucleotides) under Acidimicrobiales bacterium. RNAcentral's name for it is "tRNA-Ser". It matches the Rfam family "tRNA". From Rfam's summary of the family: Transfer RNA (tRNA) molecules are approximately 80 nucleotides in length. The record is from RNAcentral. Lineage: Bacteria; Bacillati; Actinomycetota; Acidimicrobiia; Acidimicrobiales. RNAcentral also lists the same sequence under 1 other name.
GGAGAGGUGGCCGAGUCAGGUCGAAGGCGCUCCCCUGCUAAGGGAGUAGGCGGUUUAUCCCGUCUCGAGGGUUCAAAUCCCUCCCUCUCCGCCA